RNAcentral lists this ribosomal RNA (891 nucleotides) under uncultured bacterium. RNAcentral's name for it is "bacterial SSU rRNA". It matches the Rfam family "Bacterial small subunit ribosomal RNA", at positions 54 to 904 of the family's 1533-position model. The record is from RNAcentral.
CAUGCAAGUCGAGCGAGCUUGCCUAGAUGAAUUUGGUGCUUGCACCAGAUGAAACUAGAUACAAGCGAGCGGCGGACGGGUGAGUAACACGUGGGUAACCUGCCCAAGAGACUGGGAUAACACCUGGAAACAGAUGCUAAUACCGGAUAACAACACUAGACGCAUGUCUAGAGUUUAAAAGAUGGUUCUGCUAUCACUCUUGGAUGGACCUGCGGUGCAUUAGCUAGUUGGUAAGGUAACGGCUUACCAAGGCAAUGAUGCAUAGCCGAGUUGAGAGACUGAUCGGCCACAUUGGGACUGAGACACGGCCCAAACUCCUACGGGAGGCAGCAGUAGGGAAUCUUCCACAAUGGACGCAAGUCUGAUGGAGCAACGCCGCGUGAGUGAAGAAGGGUUUCGGCUCGUAAAGCUCUGUUGGUAGUGAAGAAAGAUAGAGGUAGUAACUGGCCUUUAUUUGACGGUAAUUACUUAGAAAGUCACGGCUAACUACGUGCCAGCAGCCGCGGUAAUACGUAGGUGGCAAGCGUUGUCCGGAUUUAUUGGGCGUAAAGCGAGUGCAGGCGGUUCAAUAAGUCUGAUGUGAAAGCCUUCGGCUCAACCGGAGAAUUGCAUCAGAAACUGUUGAACUUGAGUGCAGAAGAGGAGAGUGGAACUCCAUGUGUAGCGGUGGAAUGCGUAGAUAUAUGGAAGAACACCAGUGGCGAAGGCGGCUCUCUGGUCUGCAACUGACGCUGAGGCUCGAAAGCAUGGGUAGCGAACAGGAUUAGAUACCCUGGUAGUCCAUGCCGUAAACGAUGAGUGCUAAGUGUUGGGAGGUUUCCGCCUCUCAGUGCUGCAGCUAACGCAUUAAGCACUCCGCCUGGGGAGUACGACCGCAAGGUUGAAACUCAA